Long non-coding RNA from Callithrix jacchus (white-tufted-ear marmoset), 6795 nucleotides. RefSeq lists it as uncharacterized. The record is from RefSeq and is a predicted model, not a curated record. Lineage: Eukaryota; Metazoa; Chordata; Mammalia; Primates; Cebidae.
CCUGAGAUUGGCAGGUUCUGCACCAAUCACGGCCCUCACUGGAACUCCGCCCGCCCCCCCGUCUCCAUGGCAACGCCCUGCGGGAAGGGGCCGCCUCCUCUGCUGCUUCCUAGACCGCAAAUGGCGAAAGGCUUGGCCCCUGCUUUCCGGGAGAUGCAGUCUGCAGGGUCCUUGUGUGCAGGUGCGCGCGGCGCGAGUCUCACACUGUCCCCCAGGCUGGAGUGCAGUGGUGCAAUCCUGGCUCACUGCAACCUCUGCUUCCUGGGUUCAAGCGAUUCUCCUGCCUCAGCCUCCUGAGUAGCUGGGACUACAGGAUAUUCACCACCAUGCCCAGCUAAUUUUUGUACUUUUAGUAGAGUUGGAGUUUCACCAAGUUGGCCAGGAUGGUCUUGAUCUCUUGACUUCGUGAUCCACCUGCCUCAGCCUCCCAAAGUGCUGGGAUUACAGGCGUGAGCCACUGUGCCCAGCCUGAUUUUUGUAUUUUUAGUAGAGACAGGGUUUCACUACUGGUCAGGCUCAUCUCAAACUCCUGACCUCAUGAUCCACCUGCCUCAGCCUCCGGUGUUGGGAUUACAGCCUUCCAGCAGCCAGCUUCCAGUGCCCUUCUGGUGACUGAUGAUGUCUGGCAAGGCUGCUGCUCCCUGGUGUUGCCUGAAGGUCAACAGAGCUGGCUGCCUUGCCUGGAAGGGAGAGACUCCUCUAUCCUUCUCUGGUCAAGAGUUCCAGAACUCUACAUGUGGUGCAGUUAGCAAUGGCAGCUCAUCUAGGGUGAAACCACAUACGUUUCGAGUGACUUAGACCUUCUCACUCUAAAUUCUCCGCUGAAGAGCCAGCCAUCCUGCUGCUCCAGAUGUUUUCAUCCAGGUGAUCCCAAACAGCAUCAGAACAGCCAAUCUUCCCUCAACCUCUUCCCCUGAGACCUUGGGCCAAGCACUCAGCGUAACUUGUGUCUGGACUGACAUGGGACUGUCACCCCAGUGGUCAUCCCAGGGUAAGGCACCCUAGCUCUGGGAGGCUUUUUCUAACAGGCAGGAUGCCCCUUUAGAAAAGUGCACCUCAGGGUCCUUCAGCAGAUGUGAGUGGAGCAGUUUUCCUUGGUAGGAUGCCCCAAGUGGCAAUUGGUUCAACUAGCCCCAAGCGGCUUGGUUUCCCAGUCACACAGUUCCCAAGUCCCUCAGACUUGCCUCUGGGUUGCAUUCUAAAACACUGGAGAUCUGGGCACGGUGACCCAUGUCUGUAAUCCCAGCACUUUGGGAGGCCGAGGUGGGUGGAUCACAAGGUCAGCAGAUUGAGACCAUCCUGGCUAACACAGUGAAACCCUGUCUUUACUAAAACAAACAAACAAAAAGAAUUGGCCAGGUGUGGUGGCACACACCUGUAGUCUCAGCUAUUUUGGAGGGCGAGGCAGGAAAAUUGCUUGCACCUGGGAGGUGGAGGUUGCAGUGAGCCAAGAUCAUGCCACUGCACUCCAGCCUGGGUGACAGACGUGAGACUCUGUCUAUAAAAUAAAGUAAAAUAAAAUAAAAAACAUUGGAACAAAUUUGGCCUCCGAAAUCUCAAAAAGAAAUCCUUAUUUUUUUAAGCAAUGUGGCUUGCCUGCUUUACAAACUUCUGGGCCAGAAAUUCUUGUCUCUGAACAAGACCCUUGCUUCCGAUACUAUGUUACAGCUUGGCCUUUUCUGUCACAACUCCUAUAAAUGGUCUGAAGUUCUUUUUUUUUAGACACUCUAUCACCCAGAAUAGAGUGCAGGGGCACAAUCUCAGCUCACUGCAACCUCUGCCUCCUGGGUUCAGUCGAUUCUCCUACCUUAGCUUCCUGAGUAGCUGGGAUUAGAGGCGCACAACACUACACCCAGCUAAUUUUUGUAUUUUUAGUAGAGAUAGGGUUUCACAAUGUUGGCCAGGCUGGUCUUGAACUGCUGACCACAUGAUCCACCCACCUCAGCCUCCCGGGGUGCUGGGAUUACAGGUGUGAGCCACCUCACCUGGCCCUGAAGUUCUUUAUGUCCAGGAUUUUAUGACUGUCUCUCUGGAUCCCAGUCUCUGCCAAACCUAUCCACUGUGCUUGGCUGAAUUCUCUAGCACCACUGACUCUUCUGACAAUAACACUUCCUCUACCCUUUCUGCUUUCCCCAGGCAGCUGGACUGGUUGAGGCCACCCUGCACAUAUCACCUUCAUGUUCAACUGUCCCUCCUCCAUGUGUUCCUUGUCCCUCACCUCCUUGUCAUCUCAACCUUGGAUGUCAUUUUCCAGUUCCACCUCCUUUGCAGGGACUCUUGUCCCCUUCACAUACUAGGUUGGGGGCCACUUAUGAUCCCUCUUUAGGUCCAGACAAGGUUCUUCUGCUCUGAGAAAUGGCAAAGGUGGAUCUAGGAACCAUCAGAGUCCAUUUUUCCUUUUUCAGUGUCUGCCCUCUCUCGGAUAGAAGCUAAGCUUUUGUCUCCUUUAGCCAAGACCUGUCCCAUUUCAUAAGACAACUGAAAGGACUAAAUAUUUUAUUUAAUAUCACUGGCAGGAUAUUUAUAUGAUCUGUGCCACCUCUUGUGCUCAUGAGGAAAAGUCCUGCCUUUGGUCUCUAGCUCGAUGAUAGGCAGAUGAGGUUCAUGCCUGGAACCCUCAGGAGUCUGGCCUGGGGAGAACGGGAGUUCCUAAUGCUGAUCCUAGAUGGGGCUACUGAGAGGGAAACACUAGCAGGGAAUGCCAUCAUCAUGUGAUUACUUGUUUAACUGAAGGCAUGAAGAAGGCUGUCAUAAAACCAGUCACCUAUGCCAAGCUAACAGAGGUAAUUCAGGAGCCAAAUGAAAACCCAGCUCUAUUUUACUGCAGGUUGGCUGAAGCUGUGAGAAAACGUACUAAUAUGGACCCCGAGAGCUGAGAAGUCCUCGGUAUUUUGACUGUUCAUUUUAUUAGCCGGGCUAAUAAAUUGCAGGGUGAAUGAGACAGAAAAGACCAAGAAAGAGAUAAGUGGCAGGUUCACGACACGGCUGCUGCCAUUUCAAAUUCUCUGCCCAUCCCAAGGGCCCCAGGUCAGCCAUCAGGAUGGAGCCUAACAGCCACUAAGGAACCCACUAUCUGCUGUCACUAUAAUCAGCAGGGCAAAUCAGCUGGAAAUGCCCAAAGCUUCCCCAAUCAUACUCUGGUCCUUAGUGACCCUGUCCUCACCGCAAACAAGCAGGACAUUGGAAACAGGACUGCCCCUCUCUCCUUUGUGUGGAGGGUCAUCACACAACCAGCAACCCCAGUUUGUGAGCCAGUUUGUGAGAAUGGAAACCACAAAUGCCCCCAACUGUAUUCUUUGACUAUGAGAAACUUAUGAAACUCAGGAGGCAGAAAAAAAAUGACUAAUGGGGUCCAGAAGCCAUCCAGGCCAUCCAGUAACCCUAACUCUGGCAGGAAAUAAGAUUGAGUUUUUAAUUUACACAGGAACUACUUAUCCAGCCCUAAGUAGUUUUUUUGGUCCUACCUUUUGGUCUUCAAUCUUCCUCACCAGCAUAUAUGCCAGGCCAGGUCAGGCCAGAGCAGGGAUGCUUCACCUCCCCCCAACUAUUUUUUUUGAGGUAGAGUCCUGCUCUUUUGCCCAGGCUGGAGUGCAGUGGUGCAAUGUCAGCUCACUGCAACCUCUGCCUCCUGGGUUCAAAUGAUUCUCCUGCCUCAGCCUCGUGAGUAGCUGGGACUGCAGUCACCCAGCUAAUUUCUGUGUUUUUAGUAGAAAUGGGUUUUCCCAUGUUGGCCAGGCUGGUCUCAAACUCCUAACCUCAGGUGAUUUACUGGCCUCAGCCUUCCAAUGUUAGGAUUACAGGUGCGAGCCACUGUGCCCGAACUCCAGCUUGUUUUAAGAAUCCAGUAACAUCACGAUGUUUAACAAUUGGCUUAGAUAUUCAGAAGCAGCGGAUGUAAACUUUUAAUGAAUUUUGUGCAUAAAUAAAUUAUAUCAAAGUAAGCGAAUUCCAUGAAGCUGAGAAUGAUGUCUUCUGGCUUUGCUACCUGGUAACUCCUUUAGUGCACUGUGCCCCCUACCAAGCAUCAUAGGGAGCAGGGACAAAGGAGGUGGGUGGGAGCACAGGGACACAGGCAUGGUGACGUCCAUCCCUGCCUUGCCCCCAUCCUGUCCACCCCUUUCUAUAAUACAAUCAUUUGAUAAUGGUUUCCCAUGUGUAAAAUAUUUGCCUGGUUCAGUCACAGAGAGACACUUGAUGUUCAAAUUAACUGAGGAAGAAGCUAUUCACAUGCCAAGUAGAAACUUCAAAAAAAUUCCUGAAUUAGCUGUGUUCUUGAAGUAAAACCAACUUAAAAGAUUGAGUGUGUAUCCAAGCAAGCCUGCUUGGCUUCUUGGCUUUCUGUGCUCCCCAUUUCUUCCUCCUUUCAGAGCAUGGAUUCUAUUUUCAAACCUGGGAAAAGAGGUCCUCAAGGUGGGAGGUGAAGACAGGAGGAUAAAAAAUCAGGAGUUCAAGACCAGCCUUGUCAAUAUAGUGAGAUCUUGUCUCUAGAAAAAAAAAAAUUAAUCGGCUGAUUCUGGCGGUGCCUGCCUGUGGUCCCAACUCCUCAGGAUGCUGAGGCAUCACUUGAGCCCAGGAAUUGGAAGCUGCAGUGAGCUGUAAUCAUGCCACUGCACUCCAGCCUGUGUGGCAGAGCAAGACCCUGUCUAAAAACAACAAAAAGGCAGGCUCAGUGGCUCACACCUGUAAUCCCAGCACUUUGGGAGGCUGAGGCAGGAAGAUCUCUUGAGGCCAGGAGUUUGAGACCAGCCUGGGAAACAUAGUGUGACCGUGUCUUAGAUUAAAAAAAAAAAAGGCUGGACACAGUGGCUCAGUCAUGUCAUCCCAACACUUUGGGAGGCCAAGACAGGCAGAUCACAAGGUCAGCAGUUAAAGAUCAGCCUGGUCAACAUGGCGAAAUGCUGUCUCUACUAAAAAUACAAAAAUUAGCUAAACACGGUGACACAUGCCUGUAAUCUUUGCUACUCAGGAGGCUGAGACAGGAGAAUUGCUUGAACUGGGACCUGGGAAGCAGAUAACGUAGUGAGCAGAGAUCGCACCACUGCACUCCAGCCUGGGCUACUGAGAGAGAUUCUGCCUCAAAAAAAAAAAAAAUGUUUGGGAACUUCCACUUCCACAAUGUAGACAUCCGGUGCUGGGGACUAUUUCGCAUCAUAACCAAGACACGUGGCCGGAGAGUCUGUGAUGAUUAUUUGUGUUUGUGCAAACUCAAGAGGAGACAAGCUCCUGGACCAAGAGGCACUCUGUAACUGUAUGGAGCAGACACAUGAGGAGAGACAGGUUAUUGCCUCCUGCACUAAAGGAAUGAACCAAGAUGUUGAUUUUGAAGAGCCAACACUUUCCCAAGAAGCCUCCACAGUGUGACCUCACAGGGCCUCCACCAGCACUGAGUCAGAAUUAAGGCCUCCAAGGCAGGGCCAUAUUCUCGCAGAGGCCCUCCUCAAAACUUGGCCUCAAGUGAUCAAAAGAUGUUGAUUUGGCAGCUCCUCACCAGACGUCCUGCUCCCACUCUUGCUUUUCCAUACCCAGUCUCUUCAUAAGCAGCUGGAAUUUUUUGGUGUUUCUGUUUUGUUGUGUUUUUCUUUGUGAGAGAGUCUCUCUGUCACCCAGGCUGAAGUGCAGUGGUAUGAUCUCUGCUUACUGCAACCUCCACCUUAUGGGUUAAAGCAAUUCUCAUGCCUUAGCCUCCCAAGUAGCUGGGAUUACAGGCACCUGCUACCAUGCCUAGAUAAUUUUUUAGUAGAGAAAGGUUUCACCAUGCUGGCCAGGCUGGUUUUGAACUGUUGACCUCAGGCAAUUCACCUGCCUUGGCCUCCCAAAGUGCUGGGAUUACAGGCAUAAGCCACCAUGCCAGGCCUCUUUUAGUUAUUUUAAACUAUACACUAAAUUACUGUUUACCAUUGUCACUCUGUUUUACUAUCAACUACUGCAUCUUAUUCUUUCCAACUGUAUUUUUGUACCCAUUAAUUAUUCCUGUGCACUCCCUCCAGCCCACCACCCUCCCCAGCCUACGGUAACCAUCAUUCUACCUCUAUCUCCAUGAGUUCAAUUGUUUUUAUUUUUAGCACCCACAAAUGACUGGGAGCCUGCAAAAUUUGUCUUUCUGCAUCUGGCUUAUUUUAGUUAACAAAGUGAUCUCCAGUUCUACACUUGUUGUUGCAAAUAACAGAUUCUAUUCUUUUUAAUGGCUGAAUAAUAUUCCAUUGUGAGUAUGUACCACAUUUUCUUUAUCCAUUCACCUGUUGAGGGACACUUAGAUUGCUUCCAAAUCUUGGCUAUUGUGAAUAGUAUUGCAAUAAAUAUAGAGAUGUAGAUAAUUCUUUGAUAUGCUGAUUUUCUUUCUUUUGGGUUCAUACCCAGCAGUAGGAUUCCAAUGCCAUAUAAAAGCUCUCUUUUUAGUUCUUCGGGACCCUCCAAACCAUUCUCCAUUGUGGCGGCACUAAUCUACAUUCCCACCAACAGUGUACUAGGGUUCCCUUUUCUCCACACUCUAAUUAGCAACUGUUGUUGCCUGUCUUUUAGCUGUGGGAUGAUAGCUCAUUGUAGUUUUAAUUGGCAUUUCUCUGAUGAUCAAUGAUGUUGAGGACCUUUUCAUAUACCCACUUGCCAUUUAUAGAUCUUCUUUUGAUAAAUGUCUAUUCUGAUCAUUUGCACAUUUUAAAUCAGAUUAUGAGAGCUUUUUUCCUAUUUAUUUUUCCCCUGAGCUUGUAAUAUACUCUGGUUUUUAAUCCCUCAUCAGAUGGAUUCAGGAUUUUGUCUUUAUUUUACACCCAAUUCUAAACCAUUAAAUGCUGUCAA